This 441-nucleotide ribosomal RNA is filed under the name uncultured bacterium. RNAcentral describes it as "partial 16S ribosomal RNA". It matches the Rfam family "Bacterial small subunit ribosomal RNA", at positions 338 to 795 of the family's 1533-position model. The record is from RNAcentral.
ACUACGGGAGGCAGCAGUGGGGGAUAUUGCACAAUGGGGGAAACCCUGAUGCAGCGACGCCGCGUGAGUGAAGAAGUAUUUCGGUAUGUAAAGCUCUAUCAGCAGGGAAGAAAAAAGACGGUACCUGACUAAGAAGCCCCGGCUAACUACGUGCCAGCAGCCGCGGUAAUACGUAGGGGGCAAGCGUUAUCCGGAUUUACUGGGUGGAAAGGGAGCGUAGACGGCAAUACAAGUCGGAAGUGAAAUACCCGGGCUCAACCUGGGAACGGCUUUGGAAACUGUAUGGCUGGAGUGCUGGAGAGGUAAGCGGAAUUCCUAGUGUAGCGGUGAAAUGCGUAGAUAUUAGGAGGAACACCAGUGGCGAAGGCGGCUUACUGGACAGUAACUGACGUUGAGGCUCGAAAGCGUGGGGAGCAAACAGGAUUAGAUACCCUUGUAGUC